GACGAACGCUGGCGGCGUGCUUAACACAUGCAAGUCGAACGGAAAGGCCCUGCGCUUGUUGCGUGCUCGAGUGGCGCACGGGUGUGUAACACGUGAGUAUCCUGCCCUUGUCUUUCGGAUAACUUCACGAGACUGGGGCUCAUACCGGAUAUGAGCUCCUGCUGCAUGGUGUGGGUUGGAAAGUUUCGGCGGUUGGGGAUGGACUCGCGGCUUAUCAGCUUCAUGGUGGGGUAGUGGAUUACCAAGGGUGUGACGGGUAGCCGGCCUGGGAGGGUGACCGGCGUCAUUGGGACUGAGAGACGGCGCAGACGCCAACGGGAGGCAGCGGGGGGGAAUAUUGCACAAUGGGCGGAAGCCUGAGGCAGCGACGCCGCGUGCGGGAUGACGGCCUUCGGGGGGUAAACCGCUUUCGCCUGUGACGAAGCGGGAGUGACGGUAAUGGGUAAAGAAGCACCGGCUAACUACGUG
Molecule: ribosomal RNA, 468 nt
Filed under: uncultured bacterium
Lineage: Bacteria
Description: partial 16S ribosomal RNA
Rfam family: Bacterial small subunit ribosomal RNA
Source: RNAcentral